This 490-nucleotide ribosomal RNA is filed under the name Dichaetophora cf. cyanea DLS5 (Gao). RNAcentral describes it as "partial 28S ribosomal RNA". It matches the Rfam family "Eukaryotic large subunit ribosomal RNA", at positions 1508 to 1897 of the family's 3401-position model. Lineage: Eukaryota; Metazoa; Arthropoda; Insecta; Diptera; Drosophilidae. The record is from RNAcentral.
UUCGUGUGAACAGUGGUUGAUCACGAGUUAGUCGGUCCUAAGUUCAAGGCGAAAGCCGAAAAUUUUCAAGUAAAAAUUAAGUAAUUAUAUACCAAUAUAUAUUCAAUUAUAUAUGCAAAUAAAUGUUAAUAUUUUAUACACUUGAAUAAUUUUGAACGAAAGGGAAUACGGUUCCAAUUCCGUAACCUGUUGAGUAUCCGUUUGUUAUUAAAUAUGGGCCUCGUGCUCAUCCUGGUAACAGGAACGACCAUAAAGAAGCCGUCGAGAGAUAUCGGAAGAGUUUUCUUUUCUGUUUUAUAGCCGUACUACCAUGGAAGUCUUUCGCAGAGAGAUAUGGUAGAUGGGCUAGAAGAGCAUGACAUAUACUGUUGUGUCGAUAUUUUCUCCUCGGACCUUGAAAAUUUAUGGUGGGGAUACGCAAACUUCUCAACAGGCCGUACCAAUAUCCGCAGCUGGUCUCCAAGGUGAAGAGUCUCUAGUCGAUAGAAUA